UGUCAGAGCAUGAUGGCUGGGCCCUGGGCCUGGGCUGAGGGAUGCCCACUGUCAUCUCGAUACGCAUCCCUUUCUGCACCUCGAUGGUCUGGUCGUUGGAGAGAGACGGCACAGGCUUUACAGGACACUCUCGGCCUGUUCCCACACACCCCCACUGCUCAGACUCUGAAUGGCUGUCAUUCGAUUGGGCUACGAGAUGACACUUAUGAACCCAGGAAGAGUGACGUUCUUCAAAGAAGCCCACUCCAUGCUUUCUCAAGCAUCUUUUUUCUUCUCUUAACCUUUGGCUUAAAGUUGAAUGGACAAUGUUGGGGCCAGCAAGAUGGCUCCUUGGGUAAAGGUGCUUGCCACAAAGCCUGAGAACCAAAGUUCAAUCCACAGAAGGAGAGAAAUGACUCCCACACUCCCACAGAUGAUGCCCAUGUACCCGAAUACACAUGGAAUUUAAAAAAGUUUUUUAAUAAAUACCAGCUCUGCUCGCACUGUC
RNAcentral lists this long non-coding RNA (487 nucleotides) under Rattus norvegicus (Norway rat). RNAcentral describes it as "long non-coding RNA NONRATT007857". Lineage: Eukaryota; Metazoa; Chordata; Mammalia; Rodentia; Muridae. The record is from RNAcentral.